GACGAACGCUGGCGGCGUGCUUAACACAUGCCAGUCGAACGGAAAGGCCCCUUUGGGGGUACUCGAGUGGCGCACGGGUGCGUAACACGUGAGUAACCUGCCCUUGACUUCGGGAUAACUUCAGGAAACUGGGGCUAAUACCGGAUAGGAAUCCUUGCUGCAUGGUGGGGGUUGGAAAGCUUCGGCGGUUUUGGAUGGACUCGCGGCUUAUCAGCUUGUUGGUGGGGUAGUGGCUUACCAAGGCUUUGACGGGUAGCCGGCCUGAGAGGGCGACCGGCCACAUUGGGACUGAGAUACGGCCCAGACGCCUACGGGAGGCAGCAGUGGGGAAUAUUGCACAAUGGGCGGAAGCCUGAUGCAGCAACGCCGCGUGCGGGAUGACGGCCUUCGGGUUGUAAACCGCUUUCAGCAGGGGCGAAGCUUGUGGUGACGGUACCUGCAGAAGAAGCACCGGCUAACUACGUG
Molecule: ribosomal RNA, 465 nt
Filed under: uncultured bacterium
Lineage: Bacteria
Description: partial 16S ribosomal RNA
Rfam family: Bacterial small subunit ribosomal RNA
Source: RNAcentral